UGCUUAAUUGAUUUGACACACCUCCCUACAC
This 31-nucleotide non-coding RNA is filed under the name Homo sapiens (human). Lineage: Eukaryota; Metazoa; Chordata; Mammalia; Primates; Hominidae. The record is from RNAcentral.